CCUACGGGUGGCUGCAGUGAGGAAUAUUGGGCAAUGGAGGCAACUCUGACGCAGCCAUGCCGCGUGAGUGAAGAAGGUUUUCGGAUUGUAAAGCACUUUCGGAUGUGACGAUGAUGACGGUAGCAUCUAAAGAAGCCCCGGCUAACUUCGUGCCAGCAGCCGCGGUAAUACGAAGGGGGCAAGCGUUGUUCGGAAUUACUGGGCGUAAAGUGAGUGUAGGCGGUUUAGUAAGAUAGUGGUGAAAUCCCAGGGCUUAACUUUGGAAUUGCAAUUGUAACUAUUAGACUAGAAUUACUGAGAGGAGAGUGGAAUACCAGGUGUAGAGGUGAAAUUCGUAGAGAUUGGGUAGAACACCAGUGGCGAAGGCGACUAUCUGGCUGUACAUUGACGCUGAGGCGCGAAAGCAUGGGGAUCAAACAGGAUUAGAUACCCGGGUAGUC
RNAcentral lists this ribosomal RNA (440 nucleotides) under uncultured bacterium. RNAcentral describes it as "partial 16S ribosomal RNA". It matches the Rfam family "Bacterial small subunit ribosomal RNA", at positions 338 to 795 of the family's 1533-position model. The record is from RNAcentral.